Molecule: long non-coding RNA, 520 nt
Organism: Cyprinus carpio (common carp)
Lineage: Eukaryota; Metazoa; Chordata; Actinopteri; Cypriniformes; Cyprinidae
Exons: 3
Source: RefSeq, a predicted model, not a curated record
UCUCAGCAUCAGUCUCUCUCUACCUCUGGAGGUGGAAUAUCAGGAUAAAAACAGCUACAGCUGUGUGCUCAAUCACAUCAGAAACCAGACCACACAUCUCAACAUCACUCAACUCUGUCUGCCAUGUCCAGGUUUGUUGGUGCUGAUAUUAAUGUGAUUAAGAUUAUCUCUUAGUUAUACAGUGUUGAUGUUUCAGUGUUUCUUGUAGAUCAGACAAACAGAUUUACUGACACGUGGUUCAAUUUGUCGAUUCCAGAUCAGGGCCUACCUUUAUUUUACAUAGUGUUGAUUCCUUCUGCUGCUGGAUCUCUGUUGAUUGUUUCAGUUGUGAUCUUCUGCAUCUGCAGGAAAUGUAGAAAAACAGCUCUGACUCAAGAGGAAGACAGAACUGAUUCAGCAUUGUGUAAACCAGCAACACGAAAAACGAAAUCAAAGACUGACGCUGUGUAUGAAAAUGUCCCCAAAAAGCGAUGAUCAAAAAGACUGUAUCUACUGGAUUUUUGCCAUUAGAGCUCAUACU